GAGAAUCAUGCACUUUCAGCUUAUGUGUAUUUCAAUACCAAAAAUACCCUUCAUCUUGCCAGCUAAGCGUUCCACAUCUGAAAAUUCAAAAGAGAAAAACCCUUCGAAAAGCCACAAAACCAAUAUCUCUCUCGUAUUCUGCUUUUCCCCUUCUCUCUCCCAUUCUCAAUCUCAGAAACCCAAAAUGUUGUAAAACCUAACCUCUUUCAUUUCUGUAACAUUCUCGUCUCCCAUUUUUGUAACCUUUUCCCCAAAUUACUUGAUCCAGAAACCCUAAUUUCUGAAAAGAAGAUCAGAUCCGGGGAAAAUUGGUAAUCAGAAUCAAUGGUGGGUGCAUCGAGCUCAUGGUCUCGCGCAUUGGUUCAGAUCUCACCCUCCACUUUCUCCGUCAUCGGUAUCGCCAUCGGCAUCGGCAUUUCCGUCUUGGGUGCCGCUUGGGGAAUUUAUAUAACUGGAAGUAUUUUAAUUGGUGCCAUCAAAGCUCCUCGGAUUACUUCAAAAAAUCUGAUUAGAUGAGUACUUCAACUUUCUUUCUUUCUUUUUUUCUCGCUGGUUUUAUGGAUCAUUGAUGUGGUAUUACAUUGACUGGCUUAUUAAUGAGAGGUAACUGACAACUUCCAUGUGUAAAAAAAAUUGAAUUAUGCCACCACUUGCUAGAUUGUCCGGGCAUAGGUUACAUGGUCGUAGGAUAAGCUGAUACGCCUAUUUACCAUCAAUAUCAAUGAGUGUCAAUUCUGAAAUCUUACUGAACAUACAUUUGGACAAAUCAAUAUCAAUAUUGCGGCCAAUAUUUCAGUAUGGUUCAUGUUGAUAUUCUAUAAUAUUAUUGGUAUUCCUCAUUUACUUUGAUGAACUGAAGAUUUUUGUGCUCAUUUCCUAUGCAAUACUUGCUUGUUUUGAGCUUAAUUUGAAGACUCAUUCAAGAUUGCUGCUAAAUUCACAAAGUAUCGGCACUAUAGAAUUGUAAUAGACUUUAUUUUUAUUUUUUCAUUUGGAUUACAACCUGUUUGUUCCUUUGGAUUAUUCCAGCUGCUUCAAUGUGUUGGAAUUCAUUAAUAUUGAAACCCUAGUGUUUUUUAGCGGCCAUUUAUUUAUUUAUUUAUUUAUUUUUUGUCUCUUGCAUUGUAGAUAUGUGCCUAGUGGAGUGAAGGGAGGUUCUUAUUAUAAGUUUUUAUGCAUCUUUGAAAUUCUUGUUUUUCUCUGUCAUCCAAGAUGGGUACUUGUUGACUGUUCAAGUACUUGAUGUAUUAUCCUGUGGUAUGCACCCUCUUAGAAGGUAUAAGGUCUCUGAAAGGAAGAAAUAGAGUAAUGAAUAAUAUGCAUAAAGCUUCUGGUCAUAGCAGUUAUAACAGCUAUUGAAAUAGGUCUAGAACUGUAUUUCAAACUCUAAUUCCCUUUGUACUUCAUGUGAAGUUGAUGUUAGACAAUACAAUGCCUGUAAUUGGAAUAAUAAGAAUUUCUUAAUUUCUUUGGUUGUAUAGCCCCUAGUCGUGAUCUGAAGGGAAUAUGAUCACAAGUUAUUAUAAUCAAUUUCUGAUAAAAAUUGAGAUGUGGACAAAAGAAGUUAGAAAAAUAAAUAAUAAUAAUAUUAAAGUGGCUGAAUACCAAAGCAAGCUUAAAGUGGCUGAAUACCAAAAAUAUCAUGAAGAAGAAAUAGAGGAAGAGAAAAUUAUUAAGAAUAAAUUGACAAAGUCUACAUAAGCUUAAAGCGGCUGAAAAGUGGCACAAGCUUAAAGUGGCUGAAAAGUCUACACAAGCUUAAAGUGGCUGAAUACCAUGCUGAAAAAUUGCAUGAAGAAGAAAUAAAGGAAGAGAAACAAGAACAGAGCAAACUCCUUCAUAGUGUUAUCAAAUAAACAAUCUGCUCUAUUUGAUGUAGAGCAUGUUAACAAGAAAUGAGCAAAUUUAUUUGUUGGGAAUACUUUUUGUGAAUAAUUGCAAAUCCAGGGUUGUGAUAAAAAGGAUGAUGAUGGUAUGAGUUUUGGUCCAUAUAAACAAAAGAGUAUGGCUAUAGCCUGUGCUAGCCAAUAAUUUGGCAAAACCCUUGUAAGGGUUCCACACAUUUGAGGCAUAAAUCAGUGUAUGACCUAUUGGAUUUCAAAUCAGGGUUUGACUUGAAAUCAUUGGAAAUUGCUUGAAAUUGAGAAGAUGGUGUCUUUGGUUGUAUUUGAUUGGGUUCUAAGCAUUAGGAUUAUGGAAAGUGAAUUAGAAAUGCUGAGGAUUGAAAAGAGUUGAAGAGGUUGUCGUGCAGCCAUAGAAUAAGGCAUGGCAGAGAAGAAAGAGGAUGAAGAGGGUUUUGAGAAUGCACUCAAGGUAGCAAAGGGAUGGUAAGAGGUCCAGAGGAAGAAGGGGUGGAAAUGUUUUAUACAUGCCAAGUUCAUUUCAGCUAUUAGGGAAUCAGCCCCUAGGGCAAUAAUGGCUUUCUUCACCAUUGUAGUCAGUGAAGAAAGGAUUGUCAGUAAUUUGUUCACAGUAUUGUUUAGAAGAAGAGGGUGUAAAAAACCUUGUUGCUUUGCAAUAGUGGUAGGAGAUGGCCUUUUGAUGGAAUAACCAACUGUAAAUUGCAAUGGGAUAUGGAAUAAUGGGGAUAUAACUAUUAGAGCAUAGUUAAAAAAUAGUGGAAUCAAAUCUAAAGAUAGUGAGGAUCAGAUGCAGUUAUAUUGUUGUAGUUAUCCUCUUAGUACUCAGAUAUAUUGCACUUUUUGUCUUUUGCCUUGUUGGACUCUUGGCUUCCUUGGACUCACAUUUUGCAAAGUUAUGUAUACAACAUUGAUUUCAAUUUUAUAAAAAAGUCAUUUAUAAAAAAGCCCCCCCUUCACUUGCUAAUGAUGGUCAGAUAUGAAUUGCCACCAAACUAGAGCUCGCAUGCAGUGAGUAGUGCGGUUAUUUGUUUUCCCUUAUGCCAACCUUGUUCCCACAUGUUUGAUAUAUGUCACUUCCCAAGUAAAGUUAUGAUUGUGGCUGAAAGUAGUUGACCACUUCUGGUAUUGUUGAGAGAACAAUAUAAAAGGAAAAAUAAAAGCCAAUAAGAGGAAUUUUUUUUUCUAGUCGCCUACAGUAGUUAUUUUAAUUGCAGAGUUGCAUCUAUGCAAUGUAGAUGUCCAUUUGUGGCUUGGGUGAGUUAAUGUCUUGGUACUUUUGCCUUUGUGUGUGCAUGGAAAAGCCUGGUGGAAAAUGAAAACACCAAAAAGAGGAUUUUUGUGUGUUGGAUGAGUCAUGUAUCAUGUUAAUAUGCUAGCGAAGUAGUUGCAUAAUAGGAGAUGAACACAUUGCGCUUAUCCAAGUUUUCUUCAAAGCAUAAGAAAAAACAAAAUGAAAAGGAAAGUAAUCCUCCACUUUGGAGAAUUGUAGAAUGUUUUUUGUGAACAAAAAUUAGACUUCUUUUGCUGCACUGUAUGCACAACGAUACUACAAAAUGCAGACCCCUUAAGAAAUGAUGGUUUUGACUUAUUUUUUUGGUCAUUUUCUCUUUUGGGGUGUUCGGUUCUUAGUGUCAUAUUCUGUGAGGUUGUUGCUAUAUAUGGAGUUAUUGUGGCAAUCAUUCUUCAAACAAAGCUAGAGAGUGUGCCUGCAUCCAAUAUUUAUGCACCAGAGUCCCUUAGAGUCAGAUAUGCAAUCUUUGCCUCUGGAAUUAUUAUGGGUUUUGCCAACCUUGUCUAUGGGUCGUCGGUUCAGAUGAUCUUUCUAUAUGUCGGUUCAUGCAGAAGGAGAUGGACCACAACAAUCAAUGAGCAACUGGAAGGGAGUUUUUAGCAUCUCAUCAUAUACACAAUAUUUCAAUGUGGAUAUAGAUGUUGUUCUGAACAGAUUAAUAAGCUCUUUGCAUCCCAUUGGUGGAGAUUUUUUCAGCAAGAUUGAUGCCAACCCUCAUUUGGCUUCCUCAUGUAAGGUGUAUGGUGUUGUCCCGCCCCCGCACCAGUUAUUGGUUGGUGUUCAGAGUUCUGGGAAUGAGCUAAAUGUAAAAACAAGUUCAAAUCCUUGUUUGACAUCAUCGGAUGGAAGCUCUACACCAACUCCAUUAGUUUCCUCUUUUGACUUUGUGAACAGUGAUUUAUCUUUUUGGUGUUUCUCAUGCGAUGCAUAUUUGGAUGCUCAAGCGAUUUUGUAACUCCACCUUGUUUAUGAAACUGCAUGUAUACUGAAAUUUGGCCAGACCCCUCCAUUUCCAACCACAGAUAAUCAAGAAAAAGCUUCAACUUCAGGCAAUUAAGUUUCAACAUAGUACAUUAGAUUUGUAGGUUCUACUAUUGAGUCCUUUUUUUUUUGUUCUUCUCAUUUUGGAAAUUGGGAAGGAUGUUGGGUUCUGGUUGGUUGUUAAGAAAAAACCAGUUGUUCACAACCAUUGUUGAAAUUAUCCUUGAAAUAGUUAAGGGAAACUGAUUUUGUUUUAUACAAUACCAAAGAGAGUUAUACAAGACAUUCAAAUGAUUUCCUAUAUUAAUUAA
This is an RNA transcript of Vitis vinifera (wine grape), 4445 nucleotides long. It is a transcript of the gene named V-type proton ATPase subunit c''1-like, with no coding region annotated. NCBI's taxonomy places the organism in Eukaryota, Viridiplantae, Streptophyta, Magnoliopsida, Vitales, Vitaceae. The record is from RefSeq and is a predicted model, not a curated record. The transcript has 4 exons.